UACGUAGGGUGCAAGCGUUGUCCGGAAUUAUUGGGCGUAAAGAGCUCGUAGGUGGUUUGUCGCGUUGUUCGUGAAAACUCACAGCUUAACUGUGGGCGUGCGGGCGAUACGGGCAGACUGGAGUACUGCAGGGGAGACUGGAAUUCCUGGUGUAGCGGUGAAAUGCGCAGAUAUCAGGAGGAACACCGGUGGCGAAGGCGGGUCUCUGGGCAACAACUGACGCUGAGGAGCGAAAGCGUGGGGAGCGAACAGG
This 253-nucleotide ribosomal RNA is filed under the name uncultured bacterium. Its description in RNAcentral is "partial 16S ribosomal RNA". It matches the Rfam family "Bacterial small subunit ribosomal RNA", at positions 524 to 776 of the family's 1533-position model. The record is from RNAcentral.